This 122-nucleotide ribosomal RNA is filed under the name Petromyzon marinus (sea lamprey). The record is from RNAcentral. Lineage: Eukaryota; Metazoa; Chordata; Hyperoartia; Petromyzontiformes; Petromyzontidae.
GCCCACGACGGAAUCGCACCCAGAACGUGCCCGAUGUCAUCGGAGCUCGGAAGCUCAGCAGGGCUAAGCCUGGUUGGUAAUUGGAUGGGUGAUCGGCGUGCGUAAUCGGGGUGCCGUAGGAC